Non-coding RNA from Arvicanthis niloticus (Nile rat), 375 nucleotides. NCBI's taxonomy places the organism in Eukaryota, Metazoa, Chordata, Mammalia, Rodentia, Muridae. The record is from the annotation of a RefSeq genome assembly.
AUGGACAUGAGCGUCCCUAUUCAGUUCCUUGGGUUCUUGCUUCUCUGGCUUCCAGGUUCCAGAUGUAACAUCCAGAUGACCCAGUCUCCAUCCUCCGUGUCUGUCUUUCUGGGAGACAAAGUUACCAUCAGUUGCAGAGCAAGUGAGAACAUUAACAAUUAUUUGGCCUGGUAUCAGGAGAAACCAGAUGGAACUGUUAAACCCCUAAUUUACUACACAUCCCGUUUACAAUCUGGGGUCCCAUCAAGGUUCAGUGGCAGUGGGUCUAGGACAGAUUAUUCAUUUACCAUCAAUGGUGUGGAGCCUGAAGAUGUUGCAACAUACUAUUGUCAGCAAGGAUAUAACCUUCCCACAAUGAUACAAGUCAUAACAUAA